RNAcentral lists this ribosomal RNA (460 nucleotides) under uncultured bacterium. RNAcentral's name for it is "partial 16S ribosomal RNA". It matches the Rfam family "Bacterial small subunit ribosomal RNA", at positions 338 to 795 of the family's 1533-position model. The record is from RNAcentral.
CCUACGGGAGGCAGCAGUGAGGAAUAUUGGUCAAUGGGCGCGAGCCUGAACCAGCCAAGUAGCGUGAAGGAUGACUGCCCUACGGGUUGUAAACUUCUUUUAUAAAGGAAUAAAGUGAGGCACGUGUGCCUUUUUGUAUGUACUUUAUGAAUAAAGAUCGGCUAACUCCGUGCCAGCAGCCGCGGUCAUACGGAGGAUCCGAGCGUUAUUCGGAUUUAGUGGGUUUAAAGGUAGCGUAGAUGGGUUGUUAAGUCAGUUGUGAAAGUUUGCGGCUCAACCGUAAAAUUGCAAUGGAUACUGGCAGUCUUGAGUACAGGUGAGGUAGGUGGAAGUCGUGGUGUAGCGGUGAAAUGCGUAGAUAUCACGAAGAACUCCGAUUGCGAAGGCAGCUUACUAAACUGCCACUGACAUUGAGGCUCGAAAGUGUGGGUAUCAAACAGGAUUAGAUACCCCUGUAGUC